GACGAACGCUGGCGGCGUGCUUAACACAUGCAAGUCGAACGGAAAGGCCCUGCUUUUGUGGGGUGCUCGAGUGGCGAACGGGUGAGUAACACGUGAGUAACCUGCCCUUGACUUUGGGAUAACUUCAGGAAACUGGGGCUAAUACCGGAUAGGAGCUCCUGCUGCAUGGUGGGGGUUGGAAAGUUUCGGCGGUUGGGGAUGGACUCGCGGCUUAUCAGCUUGUUGGUGGGGUAGUGGCUUACCAAGGCUUUGACGGGUAGCCGGCCUGAGAGGGUGACCGGCCACAUUGGGACUGAGUUACGGCCCAGACUCCUACGGGGGGCAGCAGGGGGGAAUAUUGCACAAGGGGCGGAAGCCUGAGGCAGCAACCCCGCGGGCGGGAUGGGGGCCUUCGGGUUGUAAACCCUUUUCGCCUGGGACGAAGGGGGGGUGACGGUAAUGGGUAAAGAAGAACCGGCUAACCACGU
RNAcentral lists this ribosomal RNA (467 nucleotides) under uncultured bacterium. RNAcentral describes it as "partial 16S ribosomal RNA". It matches the Rfam family "Bacterial small subunit ribosomal RNA", at positions 28 to 506 of the family's 1533-position model. The record is from RNAcentral.